RNAcentral lists this ribosomal RNA (460 nucleotides) under uncultured bacterium. RNAcentral's name for it is "partial 16S ribosomal RNA". It matches the Rfam family "Bacterial small subunit ribosomal RNA", at positions 338 to 795 of the family's 1533-position model. The record is from RNAcentral.
CCUACGGGUGGCAGCAGUGAGGAAUAUUGGUCAAUGGACGCAAGUCUGAACCAGCCAUGCCGCGUGCAGGAAGACGGCUCUAUGAGUUGUAAACUGCUUUUGUACGAGGGUAAACGCAGAUACGUGUAUCUGUCUGAAAGUAUCUUACGAAUAAGGAUCGGCUAACUCCGUGCCAGCAGCCGCGGUAAUACGGAGGAUCCAAGCGUUAUCCGGAUUUAUUGGGUUUAAAGGGAGCGUAGACGGGUGGAUAAGUUAGAGGUGAAAUCCCGCGGCUCAACUGUGGAAUUGCAUUUGAUACUGGUCGGCUUGAGAAUAGUUGAGGUAGGCGGAAUGCAUGGUGUAGCGGUGAAAUGCUUAGAGAUCAUACAGAACCCCGAUUGCGAAGGCAGCUUACCAAGCUACGACUGACGUUGAGGCACGAAAGCGUGGGGAGCAAACAGGAUUAGAUACCCGAGUAGUC